GAUAAUACCCAUAAUAGAUUUUGUUUGUUCUUUUUCUUUUAUGCAUCAUCAUAGCAUAUGCAUCAUAUCAUCCAUGUUUUUGACAAAAUUAUUUUAUAAACCCCACUUAUUUUGUUUCUUUCUCUCAUAAGGUUUUUAUAUUGAACCCUCCCUCUAUUUUCUUAUUUUUAAAUAAACACAAAGCUAUACUACAAAUAUUUUGGAUAUUUUACAAAACCUAAUUUUAAAUUUUUCCUAAGGUUUAUAAAGUUCCUCCAAAUGUUUUUGAAAUUCCUUCUCUGGAACCUUUUCCUUUUCUCUUUGCCUUCAAGGAAGAAUCAUCGAGAAGAAAAUCAAAACAGUAUGAAGAGAAGAAGAAGCCAGCCAGACCAUUUAAUCUCCACCUCCACCAUCUGGACGAGUCACGCAGCCUUGCUUCCUUCUUGGUUGUCCUCACGCCAUGGACCAAACCAGCCACCACCACUUUGCUUUCUGCCUCCAUAUCCUCAUCCUGGACCUUUGCAACCACCAAGCACCCUCGAGCACGCCUCUCCCCACCUUCUUCCUCUCCACGCAAGUCAACAAGCGGAAGAAAAUAUCUUCACACAGAAGCUCAGAAAAUACCGGCACCCAUCACCGUCGCGCCGACGUUUCCGGCCACCUCUUCUCAAGCCGAGGGCACCUCCAGCUCCGUCGUGCGACCCUGAUCCUCCCCGACACACGCGCGCAGCGAAUCGAUCAAGGAAUCGUCGAGUUCUUCGUCUACAUCAUCUCCGACCGCCACGUUCCGGCGACGAUUCCGGCCGCCUCCGAGCUCCUCCGCCCCCGUUGACGUGUUCGCCAGCUUCCCGGUGAGGUCAUCCUUCUUUUCCCCUCCUCCCUCGACACAUAUGAUCCCGUUUCCGCGACGCCAAAAUCUGACGAAACUGUCGCCUUUGUUUGCACGAGUGCAUCUUCGCCAUGGUCACCACCGCGCUCAUCUGCUUCCCCGGCGUCGUCUCACGUCCCCGAGCGGUUCCUCUUCACCAUCAAGCCCCUGGCAUUUGCUUCUUCCCGGAUAGGAUCACGAAGCGUUGAUGUGAGAUACGACGAGUUCUCCGACAAGUUCUUCUGCAGCUUUUCACAGGCGAGCCCACCCCUUCACCUAUUUUACUUUUACAUGCUCUUUUGAUCUAUUGCUAUCCUUAUGUUGCGAUUCUGUUGUGUCACGUGUCCUAUCCACCUGUUACCUAUAUGUCCGAGAUACACCUCCUCGCCCUGCCUAUUGUUUGUUGUUUGCCAGCUUUGCGAGUCGUAGGCGAGUUUAGGGUCUUGUUGAUAUCUCGAGAUGUUCGGGAUAUCUUGUUGGGAGGUUAUCACAUGCUAUAUCUUUUGUUGGAGAUAAUCACACUUUACUUUAUUGUUAACAACUAAAAUUGUAAGCAGAGGCAUCUGUGAGCCCCUUUGCGAAAGCAUCGGAACUUUGACUCGCUAAUGUCCCCUAGGACCCGAGUUCUUGUUAUCUGUUCCGAGAUUGAGCGCUCUACCCGUACGUGGGGGAAUGGGACCCCCAUCACCCACUACCUUUCCUCGAGUCUGUUUAUUGGGAGCCACAACCUUGGUUUUAUUUGCCCAUAUGCACGAUGCACGAUUUACUUCUUGUUGCCUUCGGGUGUUUAUAUUUUGUACUGUACUCAUAUUGCGUGCCGACUUAUCCUUGGCCGGUCGUUAGUGCCCGCCUUGGACGCCAUCGCAACCUCUGGGUCCGUAUCGGAGUACGGCCGAACUUCGUCACGGGUAGCUUAGUUGGGUGGCUCCCAUUAAACUUUCUCUUGCAUUGGGAACGGUCUUGAUGUGAGACUCCACCUGUAGUAAGUGGGUUCGAGCAUGCGUAUGGUUACAUUUGGGCAACCCCUGCAGGGUGUACAUCUUAUCGAUAAGCCGUGUCCGCGGUUAUGGACGACUUGGAAUUGUAUAGCUUGAUCAUAGAACAACUUACACCUUAUUUCCUGUUGUUAAUAAUUUGCUAAUAAAACCUUUUCAAAAAGUGUGUGUGCCUUUGCAAUACCUCUUGGCGAAGGGGGAUCGCAUCGGUUGUGUUAUGAUUGCAGAGUAUAGAACUGCUAGAUUAUGCGCUCUCUCACCUUUUCUAAUAGACGAAUGUUGUAGCGUGUCUCUAUUGGUUAGUUGCUUUGCUGCCGCUAAACUCCACAUAUAGCCGGGUGAAGUUUAUACCGCCCACC
This is a non-coding RNA of Lolium perenne, 2201 nucleotides long. Lineage: Eukaryota; Viridiplantae; Streptophyta; Magnoliopsida; Poales; Poaceae. The record is from RefSeq and is a predicted model, not a curated record.